This is a long non-coding RNA of Acinonyx jubatus (cheetah), 444 nucleotides long. RefSeq lists it as uncharacterized. Lineage: Eukaryota; Metazoa; Chordata; Mammalia; Carnivora; Felidae. The record is from RefSeq and is a predicted model, not a curated record. The transcript is spliced from 3 exons.
GUCAGAGCCACACAGGAAGGUCCCCUCUGACCCUGGCAGGCCGGCAGGCCAAAUCUGGACACUCCUGGGAAUGGCCCAGUGACAGACCAUUGUCGGGCCUUGUUACCAGACCAGGAGAAGAGCAGCUGGCCAAAGGAGAGAGAGUGAAGAGAAAGUGCUGCAUGCCAACAGAGGAAGGGAAGGAACGAGCUGAGUUCCAGAGAAGUCACACGGCCAGAAUGCCCUCUCUGGGCCAGGCUUGGUGCCGACCAUGAGGAUUCCGUGGAAGCCACAACAGACAGGGCUCCUGCUGUCGAGGUGUUUAAGUGAUGCCAAGACCAUUCCCUAAGAGGGAGGAUGGCCUUUUCAACGAACGGUGCUGGGGCAGCUGGAUAUCCACGUGUAGAGGAAUGAAGUUGAUCCCCUAUCUCACACCAUACACACAAAUUACCUUAAAAUGGAUCG